This 305-nucleotide ribosomal RNA is filed under the name uncultured bacterium. RNAcentral describes it as "partial 16S ribosomal RNA". It matches the Rfam family "Bacterial small subunit ribosomal RNA", at positions 508 to 807 of the family's 1533-position model. The record is from RNAcentral.
ACAGCAGCCGCCGCGGUAAUACAGAGGGUGCGAGCGUUAAUCGGAUUUACUGGGCGUAAAGCGUGCGUAGGCGGCUUUUUAAGUCGGAUGUGAAAUCCCUGAGCUUAACUUAGGAAUUGCAUUCGAUACUGGGAAGCUAGAGUAUGGGAAAGGAUGGUAGAAUUCCAGGUGUAGCGGUGAAAUGCGUAGAGAUCUGGAGGAAUACCGAUGGCGAAGGCAGCCAUCUGGCCUAAUACUGACGCUGAGGUACGAAAGCAUGGGGAGCAAACAGGAUUAGAUACCCCCGUAGUCCCUGUCUCUUAUAC